CCAUGUCCAACAGGCUUCCCCUUACAAUGUGAGGGUCCCUAAUGACCAGGCCUUGAAGAGAAUUAUGGGUGUAAUUUAUCAAAAUCUUGCUGAUCAUAUCCUGUUUUAGACCCUUAGACUUCACGGCCGUUAAAACUCGUUCGAAGAACUCAAGAUUAAGAACCGACAGUGACUUUCCCCACCAGUCAGAUGGCGUUUCCGGUUCGAUGUUUGGCAUAGUUUUCAUUGGAAAGUUGUGAUCAAGUUUAAGUAAGCCUGAAGCAAGCUGCUCUUUGCAUGCAUUAUUGGCAAUUGCAUUGAUAAGCCUAUUAACCAAGUUGAUCUCUUCGGAUACAGGCGAGAGGCAUUCGCAACGGUGAAGAACAGAUAUCGAGUUUGAUAUGUUCGGGAGUACCGUGUCCUUCAGAUACGCUUCUGUACG
This 421-nucleotide long non-coding RNA is filed under the name Gossypium raimondii (Peruvian cotton). RNAcentral's name for it is "long non-coding RNA (GRAI_LNC006053)". Lineage: Eukaryota; Viridiplantae; Streptophyta; Magnoliopsida; Malvales; Malvaceae. The record is from RNAcentral.